CUUACAGCUCGCAAAGAUGUAUUCAGGAGCUUGAUGCCAGGAAAGCCAAUUGAUUUUCUUGUGCUAGACUUAGUAGCAGAUAUGAUGAAGACAAAGUUGACCAGAGAAAAGUGGUUAUUGGUUUUUACCUACAACUUUUGCGGUAAGCAUAUAUGAGUGUAUAUUAAAAUAAUAUUGGUAGUUGUUAUUUGUAUUGCGCAUAUAAACAAGUGGCCAAAAUAACGUAGAUGUCAGAGAAGAUAAAAUUGGAUCCCAACCAUCUGCCGUCUUGUAUCACAGAUGUUUAUUUGGGCAAAGUUGACUGCUUAAAAAGAGUGUUUAUCCCUGUACCUGAAACUAUUCACGAAGGUCAUGAACACUGGUAUCUCGUAGUGAUCGAUCGUGUUAAAAGACAAAUCAUUUUGCUAGACCUAUUUUCCAUUAAGAAACAAUUCAAGCGAAAGAGGAUAGCCUUGAAAUUAGUAAAUAUAUUUUCUUUUUUUUUUGUUAAUUAUAUAGAUAUAUGACUAAAAAAGCAAAUUCUGACAUAGACAUAAACAAACCAUUUAUUUAGACGAAGUAUUGGAAAAUCGUUUAUUCUAUAACUUUGAGACUACUCCAAAUCUAAUUUCUUCAUUAUUUGAAUUUGAAGAACCAAAAGGCCUUCCCACCCUCGAAGUUGUAUCAUAAUAUCAUAUAAUUAAUAGUUAUUGAUAUAAAAUUUAUGCAAUUAUAUAAUACUCUAAUAUAUCUUGCUCGAUAUGUAGGAAUGACACGGGUGUGUGGGUUGCAAGUUGGGUAAUAGCUUGUUUUGAAGAUGAUAACUUUAACAUAAAGAUAAUAUUAUAGACUUUUUUUUCGUUAUUCUUUCUUUUAUAUUUAGGUAGUUAAGCUUAAUGUGUAAAUGUUAAUAUUUUAUUAGGUAUAUUAUGGGAAUCGAACGAAGAUUGCAGUCUCAUUCGUGUCGAAGAAUUAUAAAAUGAUCGAGUAUUGGGCAAAAGAAAAGCCUUUGAAAAUUUUAGAAAGGUGUAUAAUAAUUACCAUCGUGAUGAUUAUGAAUUCCCACAAGAUGGUGAUUAUUAUAAUGGUGAUCACCAUCGUGAUUAUUAUGAAUUUUCACAAGAUUAGAUUUAUAGCAUUCAUACAGCUUUCUAAGAUUUUCAAAGGCAUUUCUUUUGACUCUAUACUCGAUCAUACUAUGAUUCUUCGACAUGAGUGAGACUGCAAUCUUCAUUUGAUUCCCAUCAUCAAACUAAUAAAAUAUUAAUAUCUACACAUUAGGCUUAACUACCUAAAUAUAAAAGAAAGAAUGACCGAAAAAAUUAGUGUAUAAUAUUAUCUUUAUGUUAAAAUGAUCAUCUUCAAAACAAGCUAUCAUCCAACUUGCAACCCACACACCCGCGUCAUUCCUACCUAUCGAGUAUAUAUUAGAGUACUAUAUAAUUUCAUAUCAAUAACUACUAAUUAUAUGAUGUUACGAUACAAUUUCGAGGGUGGGAAGGCCCUUUGGUUCUUCAAAUUCAAAUUGUAAAGAAAUCAGAUUUAGAGUGGUCUUAAAGUCAUAGAAUGAACGAUCUUCCAAUACUUCAUCUAAAUAAAUGGCCUGUUUUUGUCUAUGUUGCUUUUUUAGUCAUAUAUCUAGAUAAUUAACAACAAAAAAGAGAAUAUAUUACUAAUUUCAAGGGUGUCUUCUUUCGCUUGAACUGUUUCUCAAUGAAAAAUGGGUCUAGGAAAAUGAUUUAUCUUUUAACACGAUCGAUCACUACGAGGUACCAGUGUUCAUGACCUUCGUGAAUAGUUUCAGGUACAGGAUACACACCAAAUCAAGAGAAAGUAAUUUUAGUUAUUAAAUUUAUUUUAUACCAAUAUUUGCUAAUUUGAAUUUAAAAAUGAUAUCAAUUUACUCUUUUUAAGCAGUCAACUUUGUCCUAAUAAACAUCUGUGAUACAAGAUGGCAGAUGACUGGGAUCCAAUUUUGUCUUCUCUGAUAUCUACGUUAUUUUUGCCACUUGUUUAUAUGUGCAAUAUAAAUAACAACUACGAAUAUUAUUUUAAUAUACACUCCUAUAUACUUAUCGCAAAAGUUGUACGUAAAAACCAAUAACCACUUUCUCUGGUCAACUCUGUUUUCAUCAUAGCUGCUACUAAGCCUAGCACAAGAGAAUCAAUUGGCUUUCCUUGCAUCAAGCUCCUGAAUACAUCUCUGCGAGCUGUAAGUCCAGAAAAUACUAUAUCCUCCUCAAAGCUGCCAAAGAUAAAUUAACAUAAAUAAAAAUAGCUAAACAAAUCCACAAUACCGUUUAAAAAUAAUAUUCUUAUUGAGUUUACUUACUUAUCCAUCAAUAGAUUACCAUACAAGUAUGCUGCAAUUGCAAGUUUA
This is a non-coding RNA of Arachis ipaensis, 2359 nucleotides long. The record is from RefSeq and is a predicted model, not a curated record. Lineage: Eukaryota; Viridiplantae; Streptophyta; Magnoliopsida; Fabales; Fabaceae.